UCUGCCUGCAGUGUCAAAUCGAUGGCCUGGC
This 31-nucleotide non-coding RNA is filed under the name Homo sapiens (human). Lineage: Eukaryota; Metazoa; Chordata; Mammalia; Primates; Hominidae. The record is from RNAcentral.